UGAGGUAUUUUGGACAAUGGGGGAAACCCUGAUCCAGCGACGCCGCGUGAGGGAUGACGGCCUUCGGGUUGUAAACCUCUUUUCUCAGGGACGAUGAUGACGGUACCUGAGGAAUAAGCCACGGCUAACUACGUGCCAGCAGCCGCGGUAAUACGUAGGUGGCGAGCGUUGUCCGGAUUUACUGGGCGUAAAGAGCGCGCAGGCGGUCGUUCAAGUCGCGUGUGAAAGCCCCCGGCUCAACUGGGGAGGGUCACGCGAUACUGAUCGACUCGAAGGCAGGAGAGGGUAGUGGAAUUCCCGGUGUAGUGGUGAAAUGCGUAGAUAUCGGGAGGAACACCAGUGGCGAAGGUGACUACCUGGCCUGUUCUUGACGCUGAGGCGCGAAAGCUAGGGGAGCAAA
RNAcentral lists this ribosomal RNA (400 nucleotides) under uncultured bacterium. Its description in RNAcentral is "bacterial SSU rRNA". It matches the Rfam family "Bacterial small subunit ribosomal RNA", at positions 355 to 772 of the family's 1533-position model. The record is from RNAcentral.